Molecule: non-coding RNA, 486 nt
Organism: Paramuricea clavata
Lineage: Eukaryota; Metazoa; Cnidaria; Anthozoa; Malacalcyonacea; Plexauridae
Source: the annotation of a GenBank genome assembly
GUCGACAAACCUAGGGAAACGGACACAACCCAAGACAAAAUAAAAUAUGAAACCACAACUUCCUUGUGUGGGGGUUGGUGUUAGUGAAAAAAUCUAGACACAUACCUCUGAAUUGGUGAAAAAUCAGGUUAUUUGCCGACCUUAAACGAAAACAGGACAUCCAUGCAGUGUAAACUUGUGCUGGAAAUACAGAGUUAUUGCCGCUGCUCAAAUACACCCUUUCGAUAAUUACGUCACACAUACUUUUUGGUCUUGGAGCCUCGCUCUCAUUUGUAAAUUACGCAAGGCGAUUGGCUUACGAUUCAUGACAGCGAGGCUCCCAGGCCAAAUGAUGUAAUUAUCGAAACGACGAAAGGGUAUAUUGGUUUAAAUUUUGGCAAACCCUGUCCAGCAAUGCCAAAGUGCAUGAUGUCGUCGAUUCUAAUAUUUACAAGAUAUCUCUUUAAAACGUCGAAUCGUAUUUCCAUUCCCUCUACACAAUCUGGG